AACAUUUCACAACACGAGCUGACGACAGCCAUGCAGCACCUGUCUCAGCGUUCCCGAAGGCACCAAUCCAUCUCUGGAAAGUUCGCUGGAUGUCAAGAGUAGGUAAGGUUCUUCGCGUUGCAUCGAAUUAAACCACAUGCUCCACCGCUUGUGCGGGCCCCCGUCAAUUCAUUUGAGUUUUAACCUUGCGGCCGUACUCCCCAGGCGGUCAACUUAAUGCGUUAGCUGCGCCACUAAAAUCUCAAGGAUUCCAACGGCUAGUUGACAUCGUUUACGGCGUGGACUACCAGGGUAUCUAAUCCUGUUUGCUCCCCACGCUUUCGCACCUCAGUGUCAGUAUCAGUCCAGGUGGUCGCCUUCGCCACUGGUGUUCCUUCCUAUAUCUACGCAUUUCACCGCUACACAGGAAAUUCCACCACCCUCUACUGUACUCUAGCUUGCCAGUUUUGGAUGCAGUUCCCAGGUUGAGCCCGGGGCUUUCACAUUCAACUUAACAAACCACCUACGCGCGCUUUACGCCCAGUAAUUCCGAUUAACGCUUGCACCCUCUGUAUUACCGCGGCUGCUGGCACAGAGUUAGCCGGUGCUUAUUCUGUCGGUAACGUCAAAACAGUAAGGUAUUCGCUCACUGCCCUUCCUCCCAACUUAAAGUGCUUUACAAUCCGAAGACCUUCUUCACACACGCGGCAUGGCUGGAUCAGGCUUUCGCCCAUUGUCCAAUAUUCCCCACUGCUGCCUCCCGUAGGAGUCUGGACCGUGUCUCAGUUCCAGUGUGACUGAUCAUCCUCUCAGACCAGUUACGGAUCGUCGCCUUGGUGAGCCAUUACCUCACCAACUAGCUAAUCCGACCUAGGCUCAUCUGAUAGCGCAAGGCCCGAAGGUCCCCUGCUUUCUCCCGUAGGACGUAUGCGGUAUUAGCGUUCCUUUCGAAACGUUGUCCCCCACUACCAGGCAGAUUCCUAGGCAUUACUCACCCGUCCGCCGCUGAAUCGAAGAGCAAGCUCUUCUCAUCCGCU
Molecule: ribosomal RNA, 1016 nt
Filed under: uncultured bacterium
Lineage: Bacteria
Description: partial 16S ribosomal RNA
Source: RNAcentral